UCAUCUUUCUUCUUUCU
This 17-nucleotide microRNA is filed under the name Corchorus capsularis. RNAcentral describes it as "sRNA CCACVL1_07992". The record is from RNAcentral. Lineage: Eukaryota; Viridiplantae; Streptophyta; Magnoliopsida; Malvales; Malvaceae.